AGUGAACGCUGGCGGUAGGCCUAACACAUGCAAGUCGAACGGCAGCACAGUAAGAGCUUGCUCUUACGGGUGGCGAGUGGCGGACGGGUGAGUAAUACAUCGGAAUCUACUUUUUCGUGGGGGAUAACGUAGGGAAACUUACGCAAAUACCGCAUACGACCUACGGGUGAAAGCAGGGGAUCUUCGGACCUUGCGCGAUUGAAUGAGCCGAUGUCGGAUUAGCUAGUUGGCGGGGUAAAGGCCCACCAAGGCGACGAUCCGUAGCUGGUCUGAGAGGAUGAUCAGCCACACUGGAACUGAGACACGGUCCAGACUCCUACGGGAGGCAGCAGUGGGGAAUAUUGGACAAUGGGCGCAAGCCUGAUCCAGCCAUACCGCGUGGGUGAAGAAGGCCUUCGGGUUGUAAAGCCCUUUUGUUGGGAAAGAAAAGCAGCAGGUUAAUACCCCGCUGUUCUGACGGUACCCAAAGAAUAAGCACCGGCUAACUUCGUG
RNAcentral lists this ribosomal RNA (492 nucleotides) under uncultured bacterium. RNAcentral describes it as "partial 16S ribosomal RNA". It matches the Rfam family "Bacterial small subunit ribosomal RNA", at positions 29 to 507 of the family's 1533-position model. The record is from RNAcentral.